UGAGCGCUGUACUCAGAUUAUAGCGUGGUGUGCUUUUUCCGUAAAGUUUUCUUGAAAUCUGACACAGCGGUUGCAUUAAUGUCAAGUUUCCUGAGGUAACCCCAUAAGGUUUAUGCAGGUAGAUCUCAUUGCUAACAUUAAAGAAGAUAGCAUUAUUGCGCAAAACAAUGAGCUGGGAAUAGAACGUUCGAAGACUAGUUUGUGCUAUGGUGCUCAAUAGAACAGGGCUCUACAAUGCAAGUAUUUCACUCGCAUUUGCCCCUAAAAAUAAAUGUGCGAACCGAAAAAUAUUUACGAGCACAGUGUGCGAUUAAAGAUUACAACCUACCGUAAUCUAUUUUUCCCCCGCUGCUAAUUGUUUAAAAACUACAAGUCCCACAAGCAUGCCCCAACCACAGAGUUUUCUGUGAGGACGCAGUCCAAUCUACGUACGUUUGUUGGAGGAUGGGAAGCCAGUCAAUCUAUUGGUCGGACAACAGACCCUUGAGCACUCAUGCCAUUGACUAGAGCUGUCUUCCAGCAUGCUAAACCCUGACACAUGGCCAGAAGACCAGGCCAGCCUCCUCACCUUUGGCGAUGAUGGUGUGGCAUACCUGAUGAGGCAUUUCAAGGAGCCUCUAGAGAGAUCGGGGUGCAACAUGGCUGCAAUCCAGGAUUAGUGGCAGGGGCUGAAACUUCUGGUUAGCCACAAUUUCAAGGACAAGUCCUACAGUGGCCUGUGGGAGACCAUGUUGACAAAGGACCCCUACAGGCACGAUUACAAGAACAUACUGGAGUUGGUGCAGCUUAUGCUGGUGUCGCCCAUUUCAGCCACCCAGUGUGAGCAAGGCUUCUCUGCGCAGAACCGGAUUAAGAAUUCGACAAGAAGCUCUCCUCCACCACCGAAGACCUGAUGAGGAUCAGCCUGGAGCGGUCUUCUGUUCGAGCCCACUCCUGCCGUGGACCGCUGGCUGACCUCUAAGCGUGCCAGAUGGCCAACAUACAAAAGCAGUUGGACAACUGAUAUCCUUUGCGUCAAGUAGGCAUGGGUCAAUGUGUGAUUUUGGUGUCAUGUGCUGUUCCACAGAUGUGUGUCCCUUAGUACACGCAC
Long non-coding RNA from Salvelinus namaycush (lake trout), 1090 nucleotides. RefSeq lists it as uncharacterized. Lineage: Eukaryota; Metazoa; Chordata; Actinopteri; Salmoniformes; Salmonidae. The record is from RefSeq and is a predicted model, not a curated record. The transcript is spliced from 4 exons.